UCUUGGGUAUUAAGGAGUUCAUUCCGCAUGAGUAUCAGUUUACAACCUGAAGGCCUUCUUCUUUCACGCGGUAUUGCUGGAUCAAGGUUGCCCCCAUUGUCCAAAAUUCCCCAGUGCUGCCUCCCGUAGG
This 130-nucleotide ribosomal RNA is filed under the name uncultured bacterium. RNAcentral's name for it is "partial 16S ribosomal RNA". The record is from RNAcentral.